RNAcentral lists this small RNA (79 nucleotides) under Roseococcus suduntuyensis. RNAcentral's name for it is "Makes More Granules Regulator RNA (mmgR)". It matches the Rfam family "Makes More Granules Regulator RNA (mmgR)". Rfam says of the family: SuhB later renamed mmgR (makes more granules regulator) was a putative non-coding RNA found multiple times in the Agrobacterium tumefaciens genome and related alpha-proteobacteria. Lineage: Bacteria; Pseudomonadati; Pseudomonadota; Alphaproteobacteria; Acetobacterales; Roseomonadaceae. The record is from Rfam by way of RNAcentral.
UCUUUCUGCCGUGUGACUGGCGUUUCCUCCCUUAACUUGGGCCGCUCCCUGACGGGGGUGGCCCUUUCUUUUUUUUAAC